GUAUAAACUGUGUAAGAUGCUACAAUUUAAAGGAUAAAUAAAGAAACAGAUAACUAGCAAAGAAACAGAUAACUAACAAACAUCCAUCUUAUUCCUGCAAUCUCUCAUUGAAUGUGAGACUUAGAAAGUUCUCUACAUGCUCACAAGCAGGUUCACACAACCCAAUACUACAAUCAAAAUAAGUAAAUAAAUUAAACUGCUAGCCUACAGAAAUGAAUGUCAAGAAUAACUUCUUGGAUUUGAAUAACUAAAUCAAUAUUGGAGCACAUAUGACACACCCAGAAUAACUCCCAGAAUUUGAAAAUGACCUGCUGUUUCGAGAAGGUGAACCUCGAGGGGAUGAUGAAGAUGAACGAUCAGCUGAAUGGGGAGAUUUAGAAGACCUGCAGGAGUUUGGAUCAUUAGUUGACAGACUUCCAUGAUUCCAUGUCUUACAGAAACAAUGGACACUUGUGUGCUUACCAAAAAAAUAACAUCACUGAAAAUUUUUUUUAAAAAAAAUCAUAUAUCACAAGAAGUAAAGGCUAACGUAUGAUUGUGUAUUGACAAGAAAAACUUUUCAAGACUAAUUUUGGAUUUCGUUCUGCAAAAUAAUUUGUAGCAGCUGGAACAGCAUGUCCUUUUUGACUUUAAUUACUUCAUGAAUGACAAAUUUUGGCAGUAUUUUAUAUUAGUGUUUUAUGCAGGAAGAUAUAGUAUACUAUUGUUCUCAGAGGUGAUGCAAUUGAUUGAGUUCUGUCUAGGCUGGUUUGCCUAUGCCAUGCAGAUCAAUUGUUUCCAUUUUCUAAAGGGAUUGCAUGGGUGAACAUAUUCAGACCACUCUUAUUUAUGAAGGAUAUCAAUCAAAGGCGUGAUCCAGGGAAACAAACUCAAGGCUCCAGAGGGUCCUGUGGAGUGUAGAAGUAUACGCUGGCCCAAUCUGGGUAUAGUGAAGAGCUGGCACAUGAAAUUGUCAACUAAAUUGUUAAAACAGUACCAUAAGCCUAGACCAAAUUCAAAUUAGACUACUCAAAUUUAACUGCAAAGAGAAAUAGAGAAUUUCUCACAGAAGGGAGAACAUCCUGAUCUACUGACCAAUAAAACGCCAAAAUUGUACUACUGAAGCUAUUGUUAGUGUAAAUAAAGCUCACAUUCCCAACCAAAAAAACAAUAUAACCAAUUCCAUGUUAGGAUAGGUGAUUACAUACUUGUGAUCUGCAGAGCAUCCAAUUAUAUUGCCAUGCAGCAGUAUUCCUAGCUGCA
This 1242-nucleotide unclassified non-coding RNA is filed under the name Hevea brasiliensis (rubber tree). The record is from RNAcentral. Lineage: Eukaryota; Viridiplantae; Streptophyta; Magnoliopsida; Malpighiales; Euphorbiaceae.